CCUCCAGCACCGGCGACCCUCCCCGUGGCUCCGUCGCCAUGAAGGCUCCUCCGACGCCAUUAAGAGUGAGGAGGACGAGGCCCAGCCAUGGAGAGUGGCCAGAGGAUCAAGGACGGCCAACCCCUGCCUCCUCUCCAGCACGUGUUGGGGAUUACGAGCCGCGUACAUGAAGAAGCAGGAGCAAAGCAAAUGCAGGAUUCCAUGGGUCGUUGUGGUGCCUGUUGGGCCUUUGUUGUUGUGGAGUGUCUGCAAGAUCGUCUAUGCAUUCCUCGCGGCAUGGACCGUUAGUAAGGUUGAUCAUCGGCAAGCGAAAGUGCUUUGUGGAUACUUGCACGACCAAGGAAGGAAUUUGUAUUUGAAGUAUGCACUAGGGAUAUUGCAAGUGUCAAUGCAAACUACCAGAGUCACAUGAGGCUCACAAUGAGCAGCAAUAUUAGCGCCACUCGGGUCCAGUGUUGCUAACUUGAUAUUUACCCUGUUUACCUGACACCAUCAGGUCUAAGGCAUUAGUAUUCUCUUCUUAUUGUACCUGGUAAUAAUUAGAGAACCAGCUUAGCUAACCAUAUGACAUAUUGGUCCUCCAAUGUUAAUAUGCCAAUGGGAAAUCUGAAAUGUUAGACCAUGAUGGUGCUUUAGAAUUUAGAGUAUAUAGAUAUCCAAUUGUUUUUAAGGAAUGUAGACAUCCAGUUCACCCAAAACUUUAUUGCAUACUAGCCUCUUGUGGUAGUUGCUUAGGUUACACUUUGAAAAUGUUGUGUCUUAUGGUCUUCAAUUUACAGUAUGUGUCCUUCUACUGUUUUUAUCUUGGUUGAUCACAGUGUAGGUCUGAUGUAGUGGCGACAACAACAGUGGAGGGGGCACAAGCAGGCCCACGUAUUUUCUGAAAAUCCAGUUAUAUUUGCUACCUUUCACAUCUUCUAUUGUACUAGCAUUGCUGGACAUAUUUAUCUUCGUAUGGUAAUCUCUGUUUUGUGCAGACUGAGAAGGUUUUCUUGGAGCUUCGAAUGUCUUUCUUUGCUAAAAGAAAGCCGACUAGGCCUACAUGUAAAGAUACAUCCAUUUCCGAGACAAGUAAUUCCGAACGGAGGGAGUAUUUAUUUGGGGCUUCUUCUUGUACCGUUGAGCAAGGCUACGCUGCUCGGCUAGGGAUUUUCCUCCAUGGUCGCCAAAUCAAAGGUUUCAGUCCCAGGUGAAUUUCUGCUGUGCCACAUUGAUGCCCUAGGUCUGGGCUCGUGUACUAGAUACAUUAUGAAAGGGCGAAUGUAGCAGGCACCAUUAUCUUUGAAUUCCAUCGAUGAUGUUGUGUUUGACGUGCUGGUCGGUUCGGUUAUUCAGGUAGGCUCCGUCGUAAGCGCCACCAUGUCAAAAAGCCAAGGAUUGAAACUAUGUGCAUUGUGCAGUGAAUCGAGCCUUUGUGAGAGGACCAAGACAGGAGGACCGUGUGUCCAGUAUGGUAUGUCCGUUGGACGCAUGUGCUUCUACACAAAGAAGUUAAAAAUAUCACCAUGCGAGCUUCAUCGACUCGAGCAAUUUUUUGGUACAACAAAGCCUGCCAUCAGGUACUGCAUAUGUGAAAUGACCAAGACUUUCACCGCUCCCGGCCAACGGAUGUAUUGUUUGGCCCCAUGCAUGAGGAGGUAUCUUGCAAGGUACCUUAAACAAUCAAUCGAGGACAUGCUGGUUCAGCUUUCAUGUGGAUGCGCUAAGGAGCGGGCCAGAAUUAUGAAGGGCGUCGAUGAAAGAGCGGUCAUAACAACCAAUUGGUCUGACUUUGUGACACCGGAAGAGCUUGCAAAACAGCAUCAGAUAUGUGCCUUUGCCUUCAAGGCUAAAAAAGGCAGACUGUUGCUCACUGUCCACCUGCUUGAGGUUCAUAUAUCAUGGCAUGUAAGGAGUCGGGCAAUAAGACGACCCAACGAAGCUAUAAAAUAUUAGGCUUUAGCAUAAUAACAUUGAUUUUUUAUCUCUCAUCGCCUGUGCCCGCUCUGUCUAUAUAAUGACUCAACUAUUGUAUCUGCUUUGGGGCAAUCCAUCAUGUUGGUUUUCUUUUGGAACAAAAAUGUACCUUGAUCUUGGAAUGGCUGGUUGCCUUGCUCUUUCGCAUUGCUUGGACGAAAUCCUCUGUACUGGGCAUAGUUAUCUUAUACUACACAGGCAAUACCAUACUUCUAAUGUAUUUUUGAUGCA
RNA transcript from Triticum dicoccoides, 2187 nucleotides. RefSeq lists it as uncharacterized. NCBI's taxonomy places the organism in Eukaryota, Viridiplantae, Streptophyta, Magnoliopsida, Poales, Poaceae. The record is from RefSeq and is a predicted model, not a curated record. The transcript is spliced from 13 exons.